This 72-nucleotide transfer RNA is filed under the name Camelus bactrianus (Bactrian camel). It matches the Rfam family "tRNA". Rfam says of the family: Transfer RNA (tRNA) molecules are approximately 80 nucleotides in length. Their secondary structure includes four short double-helical elements and three loops (D, anti-codon, and T loops). The record is from Rfam by way of RNAcentral. RNAcentral also lists the same sequence under 3 other names. Lineage: Eukaryota; Metazoa; Chordata; Mammalia; Artiodactyla; Camelidae.
GAGGGUAUAGCUCGGUGGUAGAGCACAUGCUUAGCAUGCACAAGGUCCUGGGUUCAAUCCCCAGUGCUUCCA